CCCAGCAUUCCAUGUUACUGGGAAACUCAUAGUCUGGUUAGUUCUCUAGGAUCUUGAAUACCCUAAGGAUCUGAAGACAAAUUCAUCCAUCCCAAGAAAAAAAUAGGGAUAUAUAUAUAUAUAUGUGUAUAAAACUGUUGAUGAGGCUGUGCUACCACUCUCAAGGUAGUUCCUCAAGGAAAACUUGUAGGGACCAUCUUAGCUCUUGGAAGUUCAGUUGGUAAUCCUUAGUCUGGUCCUCCUUUUUAAAGGGGAGCAUUUCAGAAGAACUGGGCUGAUUUCUGGCUCUCAGCUUCACAGGGAAGGGAGCACAUCUCAGCACGGAACAGGGAGUGCCUUGCUUGGAGGUCGUGAGUUACUUCCGAGUAAAUGGAGUAAAUUAAAUAAACAGCUGCCACUUUUUACGCUUUUUGCACUUUACACUGCUCCAGCCUGGCAGUCACCCUCGUGCUUAUUGUAACAUCUGACAGCACAAGGCCACUGCCAACCUCCAAGGGAAAAAAUACCCCAG
RNAcentral lists this long non-coding RNA (511 nucleotides) under Cyanistes caeruleus (blue tit). RNAcentral describes it as "lncRNA (ENSCCEG00000008046.1)". Lineage: Eukaryota; Metazoa; Chordata; Aves; Passeriformes; Paridae. The record is from RNAcentral.